This 253-nucleotide ribosomal RNA is filed under the name uncultured bacterium. Its description in RNAcentral is "partial 16S ribosomal RNA". It matches the Rfam family "Bacterial small subunit ribosomal RNA", at positions 524 to 776 of the family's 1533-position model. The record is from RNAcentral.
UACGAAGGGGGCUAGCGUUGCUCGGAAUUACUGGGCGUAAAGCGCACGUAGGCGGCUUUCUAAGUCAGGGGUGAAAUCCUGGAGCUCAACUCCAGAACUGCCUUUGAUACUGGCAACCUAGAGACUGGAAGAGGUUAGUGGAAUUCCCAGUGUAGAGGUGAAAUUCGUAGAUAUUGGGAAGAACACCAGUGGCGAAGGCGGCUAACUGGUCCAGCACUGACGCUGAGGUGCGAAAGCGUGGGGAGCAAACAGG